RNAcentral lists this ribosomal RNA (440 nucleotides) under uncultured bacterium. RNAcentral describes it as "partial 16S ribosomal RNA". It matches the Rfam family "Bacterial small subunit ribosomal RNA", at positions 338 to 795 of the family's 1533-position model. The record is from RNAcentral.
CCUACGGGAGGCAGCAGUGGGGAAUAUUGCACAAUGGGGGAAACCCUGAUGCAGCGACGCCGCGUGAGUGAAGAAGUAUUUCGGUAUGUAAAGCUCUAUCAGCAGGGAAGAAAAUGACGGUACCUGAUUCAGAAGCCCCGGCUAACUACGUGCCAGCAGCCGCGGUAAUACGUCGGGGGCAAGCGUUAUCCGGAUGUACUGGGUGUAAAGGGAGCGUAGACGGCAGCACAAGUCUGGAGUGAAAUUCCGGGGCUUAACCCCGGAACUGCUUUUGAAACUGUGCAGCUAGAGUGCAGGAGAGGUAAGUGGAAUUCCUAGUGUAGCGGUGAAAUGCGUAGAUAUUAGGAGGAACACCAGUGGCGAAGGCAGCUUACUGGACUGUAACUGACGUUGAGGCUCGAAAGCGUGGGGUGCAAACAGGAUUAGAUACCCGUGUAGUC